This is a long non-coding RNA of Gossypium arboreum, 468 nucleotides long. RefSeq lists it as uncharacterized. The record is from RefSeq and is a predicted model, not a curated record. Lineage: Eukaryota; Viridiplantae; Streptophyta; Magnoliopsida; Malvales; Malvaceae. The transcript has 2 exons.
UAUUAUUUUAUAAUCAUUAUAUAUAUGAAGUACCUUGUAUUGCAAUUAUUAGACUCAGUUGAUACAAGUAUCCAGAUCAGAACUUGAAGUACUAAUAUGGUUUAAAGCUGAGAAGCUAAGGGGUGUACAUAAAUUGUUUUUACCAUUGUGCUUAUCAUCACAUUGGGUUCUGUUCUAUGUUGAUAUCAAGGAAAAAACGUUUUCAUGUUUGGAUCCAGAUCCAUCUUCCCUAGUACUAUCUUACGAUUUCGAAAACCAUGUUAAAGUAUUAUUACAAUGGCUCACAAGCUUUUUAAUCCUGAAGUUAGGUUAUAGUGAUGCAAAUGAAUGGCCAUUUGGAGUGCAUGAUAAUAUCCCAAAGCAAAAAAACUUUGCAACCUUUUAUUUACUUGUUAUCUUACAAAUUUGUCUUUUUUCUUUUGUAUUGUAAUGUAAAGCUUGGUUGAUUGUGGGGUAUUUGUGAUGAAA